This 253-nucleotide ribosomal RNA is filed under the name uncultured bacterium. Its description in RNAcentral is "partial 16S ribosomal RNA". It matches the Rfam family "Bacterial small subunit ribosomal RNA", at positions 524 to 776 of the family's 1533-position model. The record is from RNAcentral.
UACGGAGGGUGCAAGCGUUAUCCGGAUUUACUGGGUUUAAAGGGCGCGUAGGUGGGUCUGUAAGUCAGUGGUGAAAUCUUCGAGCUUAACUCGGAAACUGCCAUUGAUACUAUAGGUCUUGAAUCAUCUGGAGGUGAGCGGAAUAUGUCAUGUAGCGGUGAAAUGCUUAGAUAUGACAUAGAACACCGAUGGCGAAGGCAGCUCACUGGGGAUGUAUUGACACUGAGGCACGAAAGCGUGGGGAGCAAACAGG